AGUGAACGCUGGCGGUAGGCCUAACACAUGCAAGUCGAACGGCAGCACAGGAGAGCUUGCUCUCUGGGUGGCGAGUGGCGGACGGGUGAGGAAUACAUCGGAAUCUACUUUUUCGUGGGGGAUAACGUAGGGAAACUUACGCUAAUACCGCAUACGACCUACGGGUGAAAGCAGGGGACCUUCGGGCCUUGCGCGAUUGAAUGAGCCGAUGUCGGAUUCGCUAGUUGGCGGGGUAAAGGCCCACCAAGGCGACGAUCCGUAGCUGGUCUGAGACGAUGAUCCGCCAAACUGGAACUGAGACACGGUCCAGACUCCUACGGGAGGCAGCAGUGGGAGAUAUUGGACAAUGGGCGCAAGCCUGAUCCAGCCAUACCGCGUGGGUAAAGAAGGCCUUCGGGUUGUAAAGCCCUUUUGUUGGGAAAGAAAUCCAGCUGGCUAAUACCCGGUUGGGAUGACGGUACCCAAAGAAUAAGCACCGGCUAACUUCGUGCCAGCCGCCGCGGUAA
This 506-nucleotide ribosomal RNA is filed under the name uncultured bacterium. RNAcentral's name for it is "partial 16S ribosomal RNA". It matches the Rfam family "Bacterial small subunit ribosomal RNA", at positions 29 to 523 of the family's 1533-position model. The record is from RNAcentral.